This 260-nucleotide ribosomal RNA is filed under the name uncultured prokaryote. RNAcentral describes it as "partial 16S ribosomal RNA". It matches the Rfam family "Bacterial small subunit ribosomal RNA", at positions 524 to 782 of the family's 1533-position model. The record is from RNAcentral.
UACGUAGGGUGCGAGCGUUGUCCGGAAUUACUGGGCGUAAAGAGCUCGUAGGUGGUUUGUCACGUCGUCUGUGAAAUUCCGGGGCUUAACCUCGGGCGUGCAGGCGAUACGGGCAAUACUUGAGUGCUGUAGGGGAGACUGGAAUUCCUGGUGUAGCGGUGAAAUGCGCAGAUAUCAGGAGGAACACCAAUGGCGAAGGCAGGUCUCUGGGCAGUUACUGACGCUGAGGAGCGAAAGCAUGGGGAGCAAACAGGAUUAGA